AAGUCGUAACAAGGUUACCGUAGGUGAACCUGCGGUAGGAUCAUUUCCGAAAAAAACGUUAAAAUAUACACCCUGUCGCAAGACAGCCAUGUGAAAACGUAGUGAUAAGAACCUUUUUUUUUACUCUCGACAAAGGGAUGGAUGGGGUUUUUUGCGAAAACAAAAAACACAUACAUACUUCUCCUAAGAGAGGCCUUGAUGAACCCACGCAGCUGAAAAUGCUGUCGUACUAUUCCAUUUUCUUUUUUUGAUCGAUCGAUUCGGAUCUUUGUUUUUUCCUAAUCUUCUUCGGUAGUCUCGCAAGGGGCGAAAAAGAGAUAAAGAGAGAGAAAGUGAAGAAGAGAGAGAGAGAGAAAAAAAACACAAAUAUAUCGACAACUUUUAACGGUGGAUCUCUUGGCUCGU
Molecule: unclassified non-coding RNA, 405 nt
Filed under: fungal sp.
Lineage: Eukaryota; Fungi
Description: partial internal transcribed spacer region
Rfam family: Eukaryotic small subunit ribosomal RNA (bases 1-46)
Source: RNAcentral